Molecule: ribosomal RNA, 468 nt
Filed under: uncultured bacterium
Lineage: Bacteria
Description: partial 16S ribosomal RNA
Rfam family: Bacterial small subunit ribosomal RNA
Source: RNAcentral
GACGAACGCUGGCGGCGUGCUUAACACAUGCAAGUCGAACGGAAAGGCCCUGCUUUUGUGGGGUGCUCGAGUGGCGAACGGGUGAGUAACACGUGAGUAACCUGCCCUUGACUUUGGGAUAACUUCAGGAAACUGGGGCUAAUACCGGAUAGGAGCUCCUGCUGCAUGGUGGGGGUUGGAAAGUUUCGGCGGUUGGGGAUGGACUCGCGGCUUAUCAGCUUGUUGGUGGGGUAGUGGCUUGCCAAGGCUGUGACGGGUAGCCGGCCUGAGAGGGUGGACGGGCACAUGGGGACUGAGGUACGGCCCAGACGCCGACGGGAGGCAGCAGGGGGGAAUAUUGUCCAAUGGGCGGAAGUCUGAGGCAGCAACGCCGCGUGCGGGAUGACGGCCUUCGGGUUGUAAACCGCUUUCGCCUGUGACGAAGCGGGAGUGACGGUAAUGAGUAAAGAAGCACCGGCUAACUACGUG